Molecule: ribosomal RNA, 788 nt
Filed under: Salmonella enterica subsp. enterica serovar Newport
Lineage: Bacteria; Pseudomonadati; Pseudomonadota; Gammaproteobacteria; Enterobacterales; Enterobacteriaceae
Description: partial 23S ribosomal RNA
Rfam family: Bacterial large subunit ribosomal RNA
Source: RNAcentral
AUGUGUAGGAUAGGUGGGAGGCUUUGAAGUGUGGACGCCAGUCUGCAUGGAGCCGACCUUGAAAUACCACCCUUUAAUGUUUGAUGUUCUAACGUGGACCCGUAAUCCGGGUUGCGGACAGUGUCUGGUGGGUAGUUUGACUGGGGCGGUCUCCUCCUAAAGAGUAACGGAGGAGCACGAAGGUUGGCUAAUCCUGGUCGGACAUCAGGAGGUUAGUGCAAUGGCAUAAGCCAGCUUGACUGCGAGCGUGACGGCGCGAGCAGGUGCGAAAGCAGGUCAUAGUGAUCCGGUGGUUCUGAAUGGAAGGGCCAUCGCUCAACGGAUAAAAGGUACUCCGGGGAUAACAGGCUGAUACCGCCCAAGAGUUCAUAUCGACGGCGGUGUUUGGCACCUCGAUGUCGGCUCAUCACAUCCUGGGGCUGAAGUAGGUCCCAAGGGUAUGGCUGUUCGCCAUUUAAAGUGGUACGCGAGCUGGGUUUAGAACGUCGUGAGACAGUUCGGUCCCUAUCUGCCGUGGGCGCUGGAGAACUGAGGGGGGCUGCUCCUAGUACGAGAGGACCGGAGUGGACGCAUCACUGGUGUUCGGGUUGUCAUGCCAAUGGCACUGCCCGGUAGCUAAAUGCGGAAGAGAUAAGUGCUGAAAGCAUCUAAGCACGAAACUUGCCCCGAGAUGAGUUCUCCCUGAGACUUAGAGUCUCCUGAAGGAACGUUGAAGACGACGACGUUGAUAGGCCGGGUGUGUAAGCGCAGCGAUGCGUUGAGCUAACCGGUACUAAUGAACCGUGAGG